CCCUGUGUGAUGCAGACAGUUAACAUGCUCAGCUGCUAACUGCAAGGCCGGUGGUUCAAGUCCACCCAAAGUGU
This 74-nucleotide transfer RNA is filed under the name Loxodonta africana (African savanna elephant). It matches the Rfam family "tRNA". From Rfam's summary of the family: Transfer RNA (tRNA) molecules are approximately 80 nucleotides in length. Their secondary structure includes four short double-helical elements and three loops (D, anti-codon, and T loops). Further hydrogen bonds mediate the characteristic L-shaped molecular structure. tRNAs have two regions of fundamental functional importance: the anti-codon, which is responsible for specific mRNA codon recognition, and the 3' end, to which the tRNAs corresponding amino acid is attached (by aminoacyl-tRNA synthetases). tRNAs cope with the degeneracy of the genetic code in two manners: having more than one tRNA (with a specific anti-codon) for a particular amino acid; and 'wobble' base-pairing, i.e. permitting non-standard base-pairing at the 3rd anti-codon position. The record is from Rfam by way of RNAcentral. Lineage: Eukaryota; Metazoa; Chordata; Mammalia; Proboscidea; Elephantidae.